AACUUUCAGCAACGGAUCUCUUGGCUCUCGCAUCGAUGAAGAACGCAGCGAAAUGCGAUAAGUAAUGUGAAUUGCAGAUUUUCAGUGAAUCAUCGAAUCUUUGAACGCACCUUGCGCCCCUUGGUAUUCCGAGGGGCAUGCCUGUUUGAGUGUCAUUA
This 158-nucleotide ribosomal RNA is filed under the name uncultured fungus. RNAcentral describes it as "5.8S ribosomal RNA". It matches the Rfam family "5.8S ribosomal RNA". Rfam says of the family: 5.8S ribosomal RNA (5.8S rRNA) is a component of the large subunit of the eukaryotic ribosome. It is transcribed by RNA polymerase I as part of the 45S precursor that also contains 18S and 28S rRNA. The record is from RNAcentral. Lineage: Eukaryota; Fungi.